CUUUGCGGGUCACCACCUCCGGAGCCAUCCAGUACGGAGUCCCCACCAUGGUGCUCCGCUUGCUCUGCUCUGGAGUGAUCUGGGCGCAGAACCCAAAGUCGGCUGGAACAAGAAAGAUAAAAGGUCAAAGGAGGAAGCGUGGAGGACGCGCUGAGCACUCACUGAGUUUGACGGAGCCAUCCAUGCCCAGCAGGAUGUUGUCACUCUUGAUGUCUCUGUGGAUGACCUGGUUCGAGUGCAGGAACUCCAACGCCUGCAGACACUGAAGAGAAACAGCAAAUCAGGAUGACGGUAGCGACGUCUCCUUCAGGCCAGCGCCAUUCGAUUAUUAAGCACCAGAGUAGAAGCAUCAGACUAAGUCCAUGAGAGCUUCAGGAGCGGCUGGUCCUUGCGCCCUCACCUCUCUGCACACAGCAGCUAUCUGGGCCUCGUCCAUGCAGGUUUCUGUGACCACGUCAGUCAACGAACCUCCAGCCAGAUACUCCAUCACCACCCACAGCUCGUCCCCUACCAGGUAACUGACACAGACACAGGUAGUAUGACGCUUCAAACUCAAACACACCAUUCAGAGAACAGGUUACGGCACUUGGUUUUCAGAUUAAUGUCAGAUUAUCACAAGUCACAAGACGGACAGAUGCAUCAACAGGCGGCGAGUUGCUGCAUGACUUUUCCUUCUCCCCUUAAGCUAAAACAAAUACGGUGCUGGAUAGCUUGAUUUAUCAUUUUCUUGAUGAAGUCACAGUGGCGUCACCAGUGAAGCAUUAGGAGCAAAGCAGUUAAAGUGUAAACAAUCACACAGUAAAUCAGAGGUCGUGAAAAUGCUGUUUCCAUGGGAAUGACAGCAAUUUCAUCCGGCCUGCAGUGUCUCUCAGGACAAGCUGGUAGCCAUGGAGGGCAGACACCACUCAUGGGGCUCACAUUUUCUCAGCAACAUGAGAUUUUCCAGGAAGUUUGAGAAGGUCUAACUUCACAGCAGAUUGUGCUGUUGCACUUGUUUCACAUGUUCUGUUGUUCUCAACUCUUUAUAGUUCUUUAACAGAUGAAUCCAAGUGCGAAUCUGCCAAAUCUAAAUAUAAUCCUCCAAUGUUUCAAGCUGCCGGCUUCAUGACAUUCCAGUUUUUUCCUGAAAAAGCUCAGGUUGCCAAAUGACUAAAUAGAAACACCACAACAAAUAGAAUCAGUCUGACUGUGUGUGGAACGCGGCCUCCUACUUGUACCUGCAGCUCCCGGGAUGGGUUAUUGAGCAGGUUGUUGUAGGGACGUAUGAGCAGGUCAUGAGGGAGGCAGCGUGGGUCUCACCUGUCCAGGUAGUUGACAAUGUUUGGGUUCUUGUUUUCCCUCAUCACCAGAAUUUCAUUGAUGAUCAACUCUUUCUUCGGCUGCUGCUGCAGGUUCAUCUGUUUGAUGGCAACCUGAGAGAAAAGUCAUUUGAAAACCAGUGAGAGCAGACACGACAGACAGAGCGGAGAGAAGUCAUUAAAGCAGAAAGGCCGACGGAAAGCUGAAGGAUCUGAAGGCGCUGAAGGCAGUGAAGCCACUGAUCCUGGGUGUGAGCCCCUUAAAAUGAUUCUGGAAGUCUUACAUAUUGUAGUCACUGUCAAACUCCAGCCAACCUACUGUCGACUUCCUUCAGCUGGAGUCUGCAGACUGUCAAGGUGUUCCUAAGUAAGCAGCUUUAUUGGAUGUGUGUCUGUGUGAGGACCUACUUCCUGUCCUGUAGCCACGUCUAUAGCUGUGUACACUGUCCCCGAUGCCCUGAAAACACAGCAAAGCCCUUUAGGGUCAAUUCAAUAGAAAGCAUGGGCUUUGGCUGCUAUUCUGCUUACUUACCCCUGUCCUAUCUUCUCAAAGCGCGAGUAUUUCUUCUUGGGGUCUCCGACACUCACAAUCGUCCCUGAGGAGAAGGACGAAGCACAAACUUAAAGUGAUCCAAAUAAAACUGUCCUGAACCUGAGCCAGACUGUUUCUAUCUCGUCUGCUCAUAUUCAAGUGGAUGCAUCAUGCUGACUGGAAACGACAACUGAAAAAGUAGGAGCCAAGAAGAAAUGAGGAAUGACGAGAACAAAGAUGUAAACAAAGUCACGAAGACGUUGUUACCAUCAGUUCAAGAAAAAAAAACUGUUACACUGAAUGAAACAACUAAAAGAAACGUAAUAAAUAAAAAACAAUGAGAACCAAGAAACCCAGAAAUAAACGAGCUGGAGAAGAACAAGACACAAACAAAGAAGAAA
Molecule: long non-coding RNA, 2231 nt
Organism: Betta splendens (Siamese fighting fish)
Lineage: Eukaryota; Metazoa; Chordata; Actinopteri; Anabantiformes; Osphronemidae
Exons: 2
Source: RefSeq, a predicted model, not a curated record